GCCCGGGUGGCGGAAUUGGUAGACGCGUUGGUCUCAAAAACCAAUGAGAGUAAUCUCGUGCGGGUUCGAUUCCCGCCCCGGGUA
RNAcentral lists this transfer RNA (84 nucleotides) under Bacteroidota bacterium. RNAcentral's name for it is "Bacteroidetes bacterium (biofilm metagenome) tRNA-Leu". It matches the Rfam family "tRNA". Rfam says of the family: Transfer RNA (tRNA) molecules are approximately 80 nucleotides in length. Their secondary structure includes four short double-helical elements and three loops (D, anti-codon, and T loops). Lineage: Bacteria; Pseudomonadati; Bacteroidota. RNAcentral also lists the same sequence under 1 other name. The record is from RNAcentral.